AUGUACCCCCAUACACUCCGGUUCUUUCGCACCGGCUGCACCCACCUGACGGCUGCUCGCGACGAUUUGUUAGCC
This 75-nucleotide small RNA is filed under the name Xanthomonas campestris. RNAcentral's name for it is "sRNA sX9". It matches the Rfam family "Xanthomonas sRNA sX9". The record is from RNAcentral. RNAcentral also lists the same sequence under 2 other names. Lineage: Bacteria; Pseudomonadati; Pseudomonadota; Gammaproteobacteria; Lysobacterales; Lysobacteraceae.